RNAcentral lists this ribosomal RNA (253 nucleotides) under uncultured bacterium. RNAcentral describes it as "partial 16S ribosomal RNA". It matches the Rfam family "Bacterial small subunit ribosomal RNA", at positions 524 to 776 of the family's 1533-position model. The record is from RNAcentral.
UACGAAGGGGGCUAGCGUUGCUCGGAAUCACUGGGCGUAAAGCGCACGUAGGCGGAUUGUUAAGUUAGGGGUGAAAUCCCAGGGCUCAACCCUGGAACUGCCUUUAAUACUGGCAAUCUCGAGUCCGAGAGAGGUGAGUGGAAUUCCGAGUGUAGAGGUGAAAUUCGUAGAUAUUCGGAGGAACACCAGUGGCGAAGGCGGCUCACUGGCUCGGUACUGACGCUGAGGUGCGAAAGCGUGGGGAGCAAACAGG